UAGGGAAUCUUCCACAAUGGACGCAAGUCUGAUGGAGCAACGGCCGCGUGAGUGAAGAAGGCUUUCGGGUCGUAAAACUCUGUUAUUGAAGAAGAACGUGUGUGACAGUAACUGGUCAUGCAGUGACGGUAUUCAAUCAGAAAGUCACGGCUAACUACGUGCCAGCAGCCGCGGUAAUACGUAGGUGGCAAGCGUUGUCCGGAUUUAUUGGGCGUAAAGCGAGUGCAGGCGGUCUUUUAAGUCUGAUGUGAAAGCCUUCGGCUUAACCGAAGAAGGGCAUCGGAAACUGGGAGACUUGAGUGCAGAAGAGGAGAGUGGAACUCCAUGUGUAGCGGUGAAAUGCGUAGAUAUAUGGAAGAACACCAGUGGCGAAGGCGGCUCUCUGGUCUGUAACUGACGCUGAGGCUCGAAAGCGUGGGUAGCAAACAGGAU
RNAcentral lists this ribosomal RNA (432 nucleotides) under uncultured bacterium. RNAcentral describes it as "partial 16S ribosomal RNA". It matches the Rfam family "Bacterial small subunit ribosomal RNA", at positions 355 to 778 of the family's 1533-position model. The record is from RNAcentral.